Molecule: ribosomal RNA, 381 nt
Filed under: Triticum aestivum (bread wheat)
Lineage: Eukaryota; Viridiplantae; Streptophyta; Magnoliopsida; Poales; Poaceae
Description: partial small subunit ribosomal RNA
Source: RNAcentral
AUGGCCAUGGGCAACAAUGGCGUCAAGAUCACCUACAUCGAGACGCAGUUCGUCACCUCCGACGCCGCGAGCUUCAAGUCCCUCGUGCAGCGCCUCACGGGCAAGUCCGCCGAAGCCGCCGCCACGCGCCCGCUCCACCGGCCGCGCCCCUGCCGCGCCCCCGCAGCCGAGAGGGCGAGCGCUGUCACUGGAGCACCGAGCUAUUUCACGUCCACCACUGCGGUCUCGGUUGUUAGUGCAGCUGCGGACGACGUGCGGACAGCGGCGUUCGCUGCCAACGACGGCGAUUACCCGGAGCUGGAGGGACUUUGGGAUUACUCGGAGCUGUUCUGCGCAGCCGAACGGUGCCAUGGCGGUAGUUACAGUGAUCUCCUCUAUUGA